This is a long non-coding RNA of Sphaerodactylus townsendi, 711 nucleotides long. RefSeq lists it as uncharacterized. Lineage: Eukaryota; Metazoa; Chordata; Lepidosauria; Squamata; Sphaerodactylidae. The transcript is spliced from 3 exons. The record is from RefSeq and is a predicted model, not a curated record.
UACUGUAAAGUUGUCAACUACAUGUUUCUAAUAACAUGUCGGCAAAAAGCAAGGUUGUGGUUGAAAGAAGGCAGCCGCUGUGCUUUUUUCCUUUUUAAAUUUAUUCCUAUAAAUGAAAGGGAAGGCUGUGUAUAUACAUACCAUUAUGAAAUUGGGAGGGGAGAGGGAGAAAUCAAAAGCAAGAGAAGAAAAGAGAAAACAAAGGAGUUGUGCUAAAAGCCAGGCCAGCCCAGUAAUAAGGUUGUAACGCUGAUAUUGAUUUGGGCACUGUGCAGACAUUCCUAGCCCAUGUGGUUUGUGUAUUCCUGUCUGAGUGGGUGGUCUGCAGAGGGAGUGAGGUUAAAAUGCAGGAGGACCACUUGGUUGAAGAGCACAGAAGGGAAACUACUAUCGUCUGAAGCCCCUCCAGGAUAAUUUUACUUAUGUGGGAGAGACGGAGCCUUUGGUGAAAAGAGUUCUUGCAUUUGGAGAAUCAUUUGGAUUUUGAAGUGGCCCAUGUCAGAUAGAGCAACACCCCCACCUUAACGUUGAAGCAUUUAUAUUCUGCCUUUCUCAAGAGAACUCAAGACGUGAAAGCUUUACCGUUUUAGCAGAGCCACUCUGCAUGAAGAAGAAGAAAAAGAAAAAGAAAAGUUUGGAUUUAUAUUCCCUCUUUCUCUCCUGCAGGAGACUCAAAGGGGCUAACAAUCUCCUUGCCCUUCCCCCCUCACA